GACGAACGCUGGCGGCGUGCCUAAUACAUGCAAGUUGAGCGAUGAAGAUUGGUGCUUGCACCCAUUUGAAGAGCAGCGAACGGGUGAGUAACGCGUGGGGAAUCUGCCUUUGAGCGGGGGACAACAUUUGGAAACGAAUGCUAAUACCGCAUAACAACUUUAAACAUAAGUUUUAAGUUUGAAAGAUGCAAUUGCAUCACUCAAAGAUGAUCCCGCGUUGUAUUAGCUAGUUGGUGAGGUAAAGGCUCACCAAGGCGAUGAUACAUAGCCGACCUGAGAGGGUGAUCGGCCACAUUGGGACUGAGACACGGCCCGAACUCCUACGGGAGGCAGCAGUAGGGAAUCUUCGGCAAUGGACGAAAGUCUGACCGAGCAACGCCGCGUGAGUGAAGAAGGUUUUCGGAUCGUAAAACUCUGUUGGUAGAGAAGAACGUUGGUGAGAGUGGAAAGCUCAUCAAGUGACGGUAACUACCCAGAAAGGGACGGCUAACUACGUG
RNAcentral lists this ribosomal RNA (497 nucleotides) under uncultured bacterium. RNAcentral's name for it is "partial 16S ribosomal RNA". It matches the Rfam family "Bacterial small subunit ribosomal RNA", at positions 28 to 507 of the family's 1533-position model. The record is from RNAcentral.